CAAACGCUGGCGGCGUGCCUAACACAUGCAAGUCGUACGAGAAAGUUGGCUUCGGCCAAUGAGUAAAGUGGCGCACGGGUGAGUAGCGCGUGGAUAAUCUGCCCUUCAGCGGGGAAUAACCCAUCGAAAGGUGGGCUAAUACCCCAUAAAACUGUUUAGCAUAUGUUAGACAGUCAAAGAGAGCCUCUGCUUGCAAGCUUUUACUGAAUGUUGAGUCCGCGUACCAUUAGCUAGUUGGUAGGGUAAUGGCCUACCAAGGCGACGAUGGUUAGCUGGUCUGAGAGGAUGAUCAGCCACACUGGAACUGAGACACGGUCCAGACUCCUACGGGAGGCAGCAGUGAGGAAUCUUGCGCAAUGGGGGAAACCCUGACGCAGCAACGCCGCGUGAGUGAGGGAAAAGGCCUUCGGGUCGUAAAGCUCUGUCAGGUGGGAAGAAAUGUAUGGGGGUGAAUAGCCACCAUGCUUGACGGUACCGCCAGAGGAAGCACCGGCUAACUCCGUGCCAGCAGCCGC
RNAcentral lists this ribosomal RNA (515 nucleotides) under uncultured bacterium. RNAcentral describes it as "bacterial SSU rRNA". It matches the Rfam family "Bacterial small subunit ribosomal RNA", at positions 30 to 518 of the family's 1533-position model. The record is from RNAcentral.